This 474-nucleotide long non-coding RNA is filed under the name Lynx pardinus (Iberian lynx). Lineage: Eukaryota; Metazoa; Chordata; Mammalia; Carnivora; Felidae. The record is from RNAcentral.
UUGGUACAGUAUACUUUACUGAUGGUACAUGACACAGUAGGGUUCCCCAAGUCCCUCCCUUCUUUAGAGGAUCUGGGAUGGAAACUGUGUAGAGGACAUGAGAUUCUCAGUAUGUUAGGGGAUGAGUUGGGGUAAAGAUUCCCCAGCAGCUGAGAAUCUUUCUCUUCCUUUCUCUUACUGGGACUGGUGGUCCAGGAGGCUAUUACUCCUUAGAGGCUACAUGGACCAUAAUGUCCACCACUUGGUUGCUAUAGCCAAAUUCACUGUCAUACCAGGAAAUGAGCUUGACAAAGAGGUCACUGAGAGCUAGGCUAGCCCCAGUGUCGAAGGUAGAAGAAUGAGUGUCACUGUUAAAGUUAUAGGAGACAAACUGAUUCUCCAUGUAGCCCAGGAUGCCCUUGAGGGGGCCUCUGAUGCCUGCUUCACCACCUUCUAGAUGUCAUCAUAUUUGGCAGCUUUCUCCAGGAUGCACGU